Molecule: long non-coding RNA, 872 nt
Filed under: Brassica napus (rape)
Lineage: Eukaryota; Viridiplantae; Streptophyta; Magnoliopsida; Brassicales; Brassicaceae
Description: long non-coding RNA (BNAP_LNC019574)
Source: RNAcentral
AUAGGCGUCCAUUUCCUCCUUUGAAUACGCUCUACAGGAGUGUCUUGAGUUGGGAUUGAAGCUUCCGUGGGUUGAGUGAAAAACAGAGGGACUUGUGUGGAACAGAGCUCGACACUGCCUUGCACAUAACCAAAGACAGUGUGUUGAUGACUUUCAAGAAGGUCAACAAAGUUUGACGUCGGAUUAUAUGGAUUGGAUUCCAUAUCCGAAUGUGUCAGGAGAGGAAGAAAAGAAGAGAGAAAGAAAAGAACUCGGUUUUUGACAGAAGGAAGAGAAGAAGAAUGUGUUUUUGAUAGAGUUAAUACAAGAAGAAUGUGUUUUAUAGAAGAGAAGAAUGAAAGGAGCAUUGAUCAAGACAUUCAUAACACUCAACCAAUUGGAGUUGACAUCUAGCUAACACAUCGACUUCUAUCAAACAUUUUUCAACUAUUUAUUACCUAUCUUAACUUCAAUCUAACACUAACCAAUUCAUUAAUUACCGAGGCUUCAAUUCACACCAGAACCACAUUCAAUUCAUUUCACAACCCAAACUAUUUCAGACCAGAACCACAUUCAAAUCAAUUCACAACCCAAACGACAUCACACAAGAAUCACAAUCUAUUCACAUAAGAAUCAAUACACACAAGUAACCAAAACAUUAACUACCGAGAUUCAAUUCACACAAGAACUUCCAUCUAUUCAUUCCAGGACACAAUCUAAUUCAAUACACACAAGAAUCACAAUCUAUGUAAUUUUAGAACAUAAUCACAAUCUAUUAAUUUCAGAACACAAUCCAAUCACAAUCACAUUUCAACACUUUCAAUCUAUUUAACAGAUCAAAGAUAAACGGUUUACCUGUUUUGCAAUUGGAACUUGUCGCUAGGUGUAGUCCU